UUUCUUUACAGCUGAUACUAUAUGGAGCCCUUUAAAGAGCUACUGAGUCAUCUCGACAGCAAAUAAAAACAUACAGCGCAGUAAUACAAACAACAGGAUAAGCCAAAGCUCUCAUUGGCUACAUGUGUGUAAGUAAGUGUGUAUAUUUCCUAAAGCCCCAGAGAUCAGGAGAGAACAGCUCCUGCACACAGAGGUAAAAAUUCAUUUCUUGAGAGCUAUAUAUCAAGCGGUAUUUGUUUAAUGAGUGCUCCUGUGGAAAGAUGUAUAGAACAUGUCAGGCGUCCACUUGCAGUGCGUUCUGGGAUACAGAUAACAUCACAGAAUGUGACCGCUCACUCUGUCUCAACGCCCCAUCCGCUUUAUCUCCCUCUUCCCCGGUCCAUUAUAAAUGAGAGGCUAUGGGAGAACAAGGAACAAAAAUAAUGGAGGAGGGGAAAAAAGCCUCACCAGCACUCCGCAACCACCAAAACAAACAAACAAAAGAAUCAUCAACGCUGGACCUGGAUGGACGUUUCGUUAAAGCACUUCAACGGUGCCACCGCAAUGUGCUGCAAGACAUGUCGUGGCGUGUAAACUCUGUGAAAAAUGAGCCCUGUUUGUGGUCAUCCUUUAUCGGGUUUUUGCUCCAUUUAAGUUAUGGAAAUGAGAUGCAAGAGGCGGACGUGGGGGUAAUUAAUUGUAACUCGAAGGAUAAUAUUGGCCUGUCAGGGACGUCUGCGCGUUGUGUAACAUUUUUUCAAGGGGAAUGUGCUCAAACUGGGAGGAUCUGCUGGCUUUCUGUCUUAAUUGCAGUGCAGCCGGAAUGUUAAAACACUUCCUGCUUUUCUCCUCUACUACCUCCUCUCCUUCCUGUCAUAGUAUUUAUUGUUUUUGUAAACAUUGAAACACAGGAAUUAUCAGUGGGCAAAGUUUUGACACACUUUUACUUUUUUUGGUGAUAUGAUGCUUUGAAUUAGUGCUGUCAAACGAUUCAUUGCAAUUAAUGGCAUCCCAAAUAAAAGUUUUUGUUUACGUAAUAUAUACUGUGUA
Long non-coding RNA from Cyprinus carpio (common carp), 1029 nucleotides. The record is from Ensembl. Lineage: Eukaryota; Metazoa; Chordata; Actinopteri; Cypriniformes; Cyprinidae.